GUCUACGGCCAUACCACCCUGAACGCGCCCGAUCUCGUCUGAUCUCAGAAGCUAAGCAGGGUCGGGCCUGGUUAGUACUUGGAUGGGAGGAAAGUGUUAUUGAGCUGUAGCCC
RNAcentral lists this ribosomal RNA (113 nucleotides) under Neogale vison (American mink). Lineage: Eukaryota; Metazoa; Chordata; Mammalia; Carnivora; Mustelidae. The record is from RNAcentral.